GCGGAUGUGGCGGAAUUGGCAGACGCGCCAGACUAAGGAUCUGGUGGGAUAUUACAUCCCGUGGAGGUUCAAAUCCUCUCAUCCGCAC
Molecule: transfer RNA, 88 nt
Filed under: Mariniblastus fucicola
Lineage: Bacteria; Pseudomonadati; Planctomycetota; Planctomycetia; Pirellulales; Pirellulaceae
Description: tRNA-Leu
Rfam family: tRNA
About the family: Transfer RNA (tRNA) molecules are approximately 80 nucleotides in length. Their secondary structure includes four short double-helical elements and three loops (D, anti-codon, and T loops).
Source: RNAcentral